CCCCUUUCCCAGCGUGCCACAAUAAACCUGCGCAAGGUCGAGGCUCCGCGAGGUCACAGGGCAUCCCCCAUUGUCCCAUACUUCAAAACAGAUAAACAUUUAUUAAUCAGGACUGACCAGAGGCCCCGUUCCACAGAGAAAACAAAGACGAAGGGGAAAAGGGGAGAAAGAAAGACAGAAAGAAAGGAGAGGGAAAACUGGACAGAGCCGUCCAGAUGCAACAGCCAUCAUUAGGCCACACGUGCAAGUUACAAAAGUUGGAAAUGAAACGUAAGAUAUCUUAGAAAUAGAUUCUUUAAGGAAUAACUCGAUGGAGGAAAUUAAAGAACACGGCUUCAGUUUUUCCAAGUGCAAGAUUAAAGAGGCCAGCCGAGCUAUUCUUCCUGCCAGACCUGAGGGCCCGGGGAAGCGAGGGGAACAUUAAUGCACUGCAGUUUGUCAGCACAACACUCACCAAUGAAUUGCAGUCUAUCGACAGGGUCGUGGGGUGCUGGAUCCUAUCCCAGCAUGCAUUGGGAGAGAAGCAGAAAUACACCCUGGGCAGGUCACCGGGCACAACGCACGCUAUGCACUCACACACUGCCUAGGGGCAAUUUAGACCCUCCAGUUAACCUAACCUGCAUGUCUUUGGACUGCGGGAGAAAACCAGAGCACCCAGAGGAAAUUCCACAUAGGAAGGCCCCGGCUGGGAUUUGAACCUGCGACCUUCUUGCUGUGAGGAAAUGUUCCUGUGGGCCUCUGACUAUGAGGCAUUUGUGCCAUGGACUGCUGGUUACAGUAACUGUGAAUGUGGGAGGUACAGUAUAAUAAAAAGCCAAGAAAGUGUUAAU
Long non-coding RNA from Anguilla rostrata (American eel), 830 nucleotides. RefSeq lists it as uncharacterized. The transcript is spliced from 4 exons. The record is from RefSeq and is a predicted model, not a curated record. Lineage: Eukaryota; Metazoa; Chordata; Actinopteri; Anguilliformes; Anguillidae.